AACAUCGCGCACCUGCGGGAACCUGCGGAAGGAUCAUUAAAAAGAGUGUGUACCCCUCUGUAAAAUGAGUGGGUUACCUCCCGUCCUUUGUUGACCUCUUAGGAGGUUAUUUUGAACUUUCUGCUUCGGUGGGGUUAAACCUACCGGAACACCCUCAAAUUCUUAUCAUUUAAAAAUUGUUCAGUCUGAUUUUUGUUAAUAAAAACAAAAAACUUUCAGCAAUGGAUCUCAGAUCGGAAG
This 240-nucleotide unclassified non-coding RNA is filed under the name soil metagenome. RNAcentral's name for it is "partial contains 5.8S ribosomal RNA, internal transcribed spacer 2, and large subunit ribosomal RNA". The record is from RNAcentral.